GCAUAAUCAUUAGUUUUUUAAUUGGAGACUGGAAUGAAUGGUUGAUACUAAGAGGUAUUGUUUUUAUAAAUAAUUUUGAAUUUAAAUUAGAAGUAAAAAUGCUUCUAUAAAGCCAUGGGACGAGAAGACCCUAGAAGCUUAAAAUUUAAAAAAUUUUUUAUUGGGGUAAUGGUUGAAGAUAAUAAUUUUUAAUUUAAAAUAGGAAAGGAGUAGAAGUUACUCUAGGGAUAACAGCGUUAUUUAAUUAGAAAGUUCUUAUUAAUAAUUAAGGUUGCGACC
This 279-nucleotide ribosomal RNA is filed under the name Stygnidius sp. RPDR-2013. RNAcentral describes it as "partial 16S ribosomal RNA". The record is from RNAcentral. Lineage: Eukaryota; Metazoa; Arthropoda; Arachnida; Opiliones; Stygnidae.